UGGGCGCAAGCCUGAUCCAGCCAUGCCGCGUGCAGGAAGACGCAUCUAUGGUGUGUAAACUGCUUUUGUACGGGAAGAAACACUCCCUCGUGAGGGAGCUUGACGGUACCGUAAGAAUAAGGAUCGGCUAACUCCGUGCCAGCAGCCGCGGUAAUACGGAGGAUCCAAGCGUUAUCCGGAAUCAUUGGGUUUAAAGGGUCCGUAGGCGGUUUGGUAAGUCAGUGGUGAAAGCCCAUCGCUUAACGAUGGAACGGCCAUUGAUACUGCCAGACUUGAAUUACUAGGAAGUAACUAGAAUAUGUAGUGUAGCGGUGAAAUGCUUAGAUAUUACAUGGAAUACCAAUUGCGAAGGCAGGUUACUACUAGUGGAUUGACGCUGAUGGACGAAAGCGUGGGGAGCGAACAGGAUUAGAUACCCUGGUAGCCACGCCGUAA
RNAcentral lists this ribosomal RNA (435 nucleotides) under beta proteobacterium wo35. RNAcentral describes it as "bacterial SSU rRNA". It matches the Rfam family "Bacterial small subunit ribosomal RNA", at positions 372 to 805 of the family's 1533-position model. The record is from RNAcentral. Lineage: Bacteria; Pseudomonadati; Pseudomonadota; Betaproteobacteria.